ACCCUUUUAAUAGAUCCUUGAUAACAGCAUGGGAAAAAAUAUCGUAAAGUGGUUCUUACUGUCGUGAUGAAAAAACAAUAAAGAUGUGGCUAAAUAAAGCGUCAGGAAAGCUAACAGCAGCACUGGCUCGGAGUUCCCUGUCGGAGGAGCGUCUCUGGUGAAGCCGACCUCAGCCAACCGGUCGUGGGGCGCAGUGAUUGGCUGAACCGCGUGGAAAGUCCCGCCCCUGUCCAUUGGUUCAACAGAGAGGAGCCACGGCAGCACAAGAGACAUCCACCAUGCGAGUGCGCAAGAUAUGCUGCUGGCUCUGCUGUCACUGCUGCUGACCCUUGAUUUUCGGCUCUGCGUCACCACCGACCGAGCAGAGGACACCACGCUCUUUCUUGUGGGGACAACGGUGUAGGCAUCCGGCAACGGGAAGACAGGGUACCUCUCUGAGCUGUUGGGGGUUGAGCGCAAGCAUGGAUGGGAUUCCCUUGCAGUCAGACACACCGGUGGAGUCAGAUAUGCAGUCCUUCCACAGGUUGGAGAAGUAGUUUGAAGUGGUAAGUACAAUACUGUCCACCUCAGACCAUGUCCAGAUUUCUGUGGGCAUCGUAGAGCAGACGAGGAUCCAACCCGCAACACAUAUCACAAAGCAUCCAAUCUCCAUGUACAUAACCACCGUCCUAUACUUCAUUUUUGCAGUUAGUUUAGACUGAGAGGGGGUAAGCAGGUCUAUAAGCUACUCUGUUUAGCAAUAAUGACAAUGCUCAGCAAAAGUCCCUCCUCAGAAGCUGAAUUACAAAACAAACAAGUGGAAAAAGGCUGAACGUUUUCACCCGAAACUCUGAUUGGCUUCUCUUGUAAAGGGCACCUUGUGUUGUUGUCCCUGUGCCAUCCACAC
Boleophthalmus pectinirostris (great blue-spotted mudskipper) is the source of this 886-nucleotide long non-coding RNA. RefSeq lists it as uncharacterized. Lineage: Eukaryota; Metazoa; Chordata; Actinopteri; Gobiiformes; Gobiidae. The transcript has 4 exons. The record is from RefSeq and is a predicted model, not a curated record.